Non-coding RNA from Acanthosepion pharaonis, 108 nucleotides. NCBI's taxonomy places the organism in Eukaryota, Metazoa, Mollusca, Cephalopoda, Sepiida, Sepiidae. The record is from the annotation of a GenBank genome assembly.
AUGAUCAUAUCACAUUGAAACACCAGUUCUCGUACGAACAUUGAAGUUAAGCAACGGAGACCCUGAUCUGUACCUAGAUGGGUGACCGCUUGGGAAUACCAGAUGAUG